UUGAAACAUUGUGAAGGAGGUUGAGCUGGCUCUUCUAGAGCAUGUGCUUGCCUUCUUUCAAUCUUCAUCCACCUGUGCACAUUUUGUAGAGGAUCUGGAAUGGGCGCAAGCCCUUAGUACAGUUCUUCUAUGUCUUUACACACACUUAAUGUAUGUUUAGAAUGUUGUUUACUGGGUACUUAACUGGCCCUUUAAAACUAUA
This 202-nucleotide unclassified non-coding RNA is filed under the name uncultured Marasmiellus. RNAcentral describes it as "sequence contains ITS1". Lineage: Eukaryota; Fungi; Basidiomycota; Agaricomycetes; Agaricales; Marasmiaceae. The record is from RNAcentral.